Colletotrichum salicis is the source of this 84-nucleotide transfer RNA. It matches the Rfam family "tRNA". From Rfam's summary of the family: Transfer RNA (tRNA) molecules are approximately 80 nucleotides in length. Their secondary structure includes four short double-helical elements and three loops (D, anti-codon, and T loops). The record is from Rfam. Lineage: Eukaryota; Fungi; Ascomycota; Sordariomycetes; Glomerellales; Glomerellaceae.
GGAUCGAUAGCUCAGUGGUAGAGCGGGCGAUUGCAGUUUCAUGCAGUUAUCGCCAGGCCCCGCGUUCGAACCGCGGUCGGUCCU